RNAcentral lists this ribosomal RNA (3022 nucleotides) under Pseudomonas sp. ICMP 8385. RNAcentral describes it as "bacterial LSU rRNA". It matches the Rfam family "Bacterial large subunit ribosomal RNA". Lineage: Bacteria; Pseudomonadati; Pseudomonadota; Gammaproteobacteria; Pseudomonadales; Pseudomonadaceae. The record is from RNAcentral.
GUUAUAUGGUCAAGUGAAGAAGCGCAUACGGUGGAUGCCUUGGCAGUCAGAGGCGAUGAAAGACGUGGUAGCCUGCGAAAAGCUUCGGGGAGUCGGCAAACAGACUUUGAUCCGGAGAUGUCUGAAUGGGGGAACCCAGCCAUCAUAAGAUGGUUAUCUUACGCUGAAUACAUAGGCGUAAGAGGCGAACCAGGGGAACUGAAACAUCUAAGUACCCUGAGGAAAAGAAAUCAACCGAGAUUCCCUUAGUAGUGGCGAGCGAACGGGGACUAGCCCUUAAGUGGCUUUGAGAUUAGCGGAACGCUCUGGAAAGUGCGGCCAUAGUGGGUGAUAGCCCUGUACGCGAAAAUCUCUUAGUCAUGAAAUCGAGUAGGACGGAGCACGAGAAACUUUGUCUGAAUAUGGGGGGACCAUCCUCCAAGGCUAAAUACUACUGACUGACCGAUAGUGAACUAGUACCGUGAGGGAAAGGCGAAAAGAACCCCGGAGAGGGGAGUGAAAUAGAUCCUGAAACCGUAUGCGUACAAGCAGUGGGAGCCCACUUUGUUGGGUGACUGCGUACCUUUUGUAUAAUGGGUCAGCGACUUAUUUUCAGUGGCGAGCUUAACCGAAUAGGGGAGGCGUAGCGAAAGCGAGUCUUAAUAGGGCGUCUAGUCGCUGGGAAUAGACCCGAAACCGGGCGAUCUAUCCAUGGGCAGGUUGAAGGUUGGGUAACACUAACUGGAGGACCGAACCGACUACCGUUGAAAAGUUAGCGGAUGACCUGUGGAUCGGAGUGAAAGGCUAAUCAAGCUCGGAGAUAGCUGGUUCUCCUCGAAAGCUAUUUAGGUAGCGCCUCAUGUAUCACUGUAGGGGGUAGAGCACUGUUUCGGCUAGGGGGAGAAAGGCUAAUCAAGCUCGGAGAUAGCUGGUUCUCCUCGAAAGCUAUUUAGGUAGCGCCUCAUGUAUCACUGUAGGGGGUAGAGCACUGUUUCGGCUAGGGGGUCAUCCCGACUUACCAAACCGAUGCAAACUCCGAAUACCUACAAGUGCCGAGCAUGGGAGACACACGGCGGGUGCUAACGUCCGUCGUGAAAAGGGAAACAACCCAGACCGUCAGCUAAGGUCCCAAAGUUAUGGUUAAGUGGGAAACGAUGUGGGAAGGCUUAGACAGCUAGGAGGUUGGCUUAGAAGCAGCCACCCUUUAAAGAAAGCGUAAUAGCUCACUAGUCGAGUCGGCCUGCGCGGAAGAUGUAACGGGGCUCAAACCAUACACCGAAGCUACGGGUAUCACCUUCGGGUGAUGCGGUAGAGGAGCGUUCUGUAAGCCUGUGAAGGCGAGUUGAGAAGCUUGCUGGAGGUAUCAGAAGUGCGAAUGCUGACAUGAGUAACGACAAUGGGUGUGAAAAACACCCACGCCGAAAGACCAAGGUUUCCUGCGCAACGUUAAUCGACGCAGGGUUAGUCGGUCCCUAAGGCGAGGCUGAAAAGCGUAGUCGAUGGAAAACAGGUUAAUAUUCCUGUACUUCUGGUUAUUGCGAUGGAGGGACGGAGAAGGCUAGGCCAGCUUGGCGUUGGUUGUCCAAGUUUAAGGUGGUAGGCUGGAAUCUUAGGUAAAUCCGGGAUUCUAAGGCCGAGAGCUGAUGACGAGUUACCCUCUGGGUGACGAAGUGGUUGAUGCCAUGCUUCCAAGAAAAGCUUCUAAGCUUCAGGUAACCAGGAACCGUACCCCAAACCGACACAGGUGGUUGGGUAGAGAAUACCAAGGCGCUUGAGAGAACUCGGGUGAAGGAACUAGGCAAAAUGGCACCGUAACUUCGGGAGAAGGUGCGCCGGUGAGGGUGAAGGACUUGCUCCGUAAGCUCAUGCCGGUCGAAGAUACCAGGCCGCUGCGACUGUUUAUUAAAAACACAGCACUCUGCAAACACGAAAGUGGACGUAUAGGGUGUGACGCCUGCCCGGUGCCGGAAGGUUAAUUGAUGGGGUUAGCUAACGCGAAGCUCUUGAUCGAAGCCCCGGUAAACGGCGGCCGUAACUAUAACGGUCCUAAGGUAGCGAAAUUCCUUGUCGGGUAAGUUCCGACCUGCACGAAUGGCGUAACGAUGGCGGCGCUGUCUCCACCCGAGACUCAGUGAAAUUGAAAUCGCUGUGAAGAUGCAGUGUAUCCGCGGCUAGACGGAAAGACCCCGUGAACCUUUACUAUAGCUUUGCACUGGACUUUGAAUUUGCUUGUGUAGGAUAGGUGGGAGGCUUUGAAGCGUGGACGCCAGUUCGCGUGGAGCCAACCUUGAAAUACCACCCUGGCAACUUUGAGGUUCUAACUCAGGUCCGUUAUCCGGAUCGAGGACAGUGUAUGGUGGGUAGUUUGACUGGGGCGGUCUCCUCCUAAAGAGUAACGGAGGAGUACGAAGGUGCGCUCAGACCGGUCGGAAAUCGGUCGUAGAGUAUAAAGGCAAAAGCGCGCUUGACUGCGAGACAGACACGUCGAGCAGGUACGAAAGUAGGUCUUAGUGAUCCGGUGGUUCUGUAUGGAAGGGCCAUCGCUCAACGGAUAAAAGGUACUCCGGGGAUAACAGGCUGAUACCGCCCAAGAGUUCAUAUCGACGGCGGUGUUUGGCACCUCGAUGUCGGCUCAUCACAUCCUGGGGCUGAAGCCGGUCCCAAGGGUAUGGCUGUUCGCCAUUUAAAGUGGUACGCGAGCUGGGUUUAGAACGUCGUGAGACAGUUCGGUCCCUAUCUGCCGUGGACGUUUGAGAUUUGAGAGGGGCUGCUCCUAGUACGAGAGGACCGGAGUGGACGAACCUCUGGUGUUCCGGUUGUCACGCCAGUGGCAUUGCCGGGUAGCUAUGUUCGGAAUAGAUAACCGCUGAAAGCAUCUAAGCGGGAAACUAGCCUCAAGAUGAGAUCUCACUGGAACCUUGAGUUCCCUGAAGGGCCGUCGAAGACUACGACGUUGAUAGGUUGGGUGUGUAAGCGCUGUGAGGCGUUGAGCUAACCAAUACUAAUUGCCCGUGAGGCUUGACCAUAUAACACCCAAGCAAUU